UCAGGACUGGAUGUUGGUUGAAUUGAGGAUUCGAGAAGUAGCAUCAGAUCUGGAAGCCUUUGAAAGUUCUCGCUGUUGAAGAAUAAGCAACAUCACUGUAUCCUGCACACGGAUAUAUGAAGUGAUGUGCUGGGAACCGGUGAGCUUAGCUCAAGGCCCCCAGCUGGGCUGUUUGCACAGGUUUCCCGAGAGCGGAACAUCUGCGGCUCAGCUUGAUUCCUGCCUCCCGCCCGGUGUGGUAGGGACCUCCCAGGUGCCUGACCUAUGGCUAUGAUUGUUUUUUCCUGUUGUUUUCCCUGGCCUCUAGUAUAUAUUGCUGGUCUCUCAGUAAAGCUUUGGCAUUCUCCUUACAGAA
Molecule: long non-coding RNA, 355 nt
Organism: Apodemus sylvaticus (European woodmouse)
Lineage: Eukaryota; Metazoa; Chordata; Mammalia; Rodentia; Muridae
Exons: 2
Source: RefSeq, a predicted model, not a curated record